This is a long non-coding RNA of Terrapene triunguis (Three-toed box turtle), 1056 nucleotides long. RefSeq lists it as uncharacterized. The transcript is spliced from 2 exons. NCBI's taxonomy places the organism in Eukaryota, Metazoa, Chordata, Testudines, Emydidae. The record is from RefSeq and is a predicted model, not a curated record.
UUAAACCAAUUUUCUCUAAUUAAAAACUUCAAUAACUGGCAAGAAGACUCAGGACUUAUUUAUAUAGCACUAAUAGGUUUCAGACCCAGGGAUAACUGGUCACACUAUUGACAGCUGACAGUGCCAUGCACUGUAGUUAUGAAGUCAGUUUAUUCAGUUCUUUUGUUAGCAACAGAAAAAUAUAUUUCUGUGUUCUCUUUAGCUCUGUGGAACAGUGGUAGCCAAUACUGGAAACAUCAGGGCCUAUAGAAAUGAGGCUCAAGAUUCUUCUACAGGAAACAUGAAAUUCUUCCAACCACACUGGGAUCUGAAUUCACCAUCCAAAUCCCAUGCCACUUGUUCUAUGUGGCUUGUACAGUAAAUCAGUCUUGAAUCAAGAAAACAGUGUUUAAUGUUAUGUCAUUAACUAUUGUACAAAAUACCAGAGCACUUCCUCUUGUUCACUACUGUUUAAGACUUGAACUAUAGUGGUUUCUGUUUUUUACUUUUUUUACACUGGGGUUUCUAUUUCACAUCACAGUACGUAUAUUAAUGUGGCUUACACAGAUUUUGCUUAAAAUUAACUGCCCUACCAUGAUUACUCAAGUUCUUACCUUACCGUUUUGUUGGGAAUGUGUUAAAUACAGUAUAUACACAUUUGCAUAAAUAAUACAUUUUGUAUACAGAGUCUCUUGUAUAUACAUUUUCUUAAAGCUUAAAAGUGUUUUAGCUAAAUUUUUGAUAUUGUAUAAUGUACUUCACAGAGGAAUUUAUCAGCAUGUUCAGUGUUGACUUUUGGUGCUCUUGGACGACCACUUUGGACUGAACUUUAAAUGUACAGGAUAUGCAGUAUCUCCUGUCUCUGAAAAAUUAAUUCAGUUGAAGGUUUUUCUCCCUUUUUUUGAGUUACUUAAAAAUCAUCAUGUAUUAAGUAUUAGAUCUAAAAGGGUAUUUGCAGACAGACUCAUUUAAAAUUACAACUUUUAUGUAUGUGGCAGGGUAUGGAGCUCCCUGGAGUUUGAGUGAUGCUCUAAUUAGACCAUGAGAGAUGUCAUAAAGUUGGUAAUUUUUAGAAUA